GAUGAACGCUGGCGGCGUGCCUAAUACAUGCAAGUCGAGCGAACAGACGAGGAGCUUGCUCCUUCGACGUGAGCGGCGGACGUGUGAGUAACACGUAUGUAACCUACCUAUAAGACUGGGAUAACUUCGGGAAACCGGAGCUAAUACCGGAUAAUCUUUCGAACCGCAGGGUUCGAUGGUGAAAGAUGGCUUUGCUAUCACUUAUAGAUGGACCUGCGCCGUAUUAGCUAGUUGGUAAGGUAACGGCUUACCAAGGCAACGAUACGUAGCCGACCUGAGAGGGUGAUCGGCCACACUGGAACUGAGACACGGUCCAGACUCCUACGGGAGGCAGCAGUAGGGAAUCUUACGCAACGGGCGAAAGCCUGACGGAGCAACGCCGCGUGAGUGAUGACGGUCUUCGGAUCGUAAAACUCUGUUAUUAGGGAAGAACAAACGUGUACGUAACUGUGCACGUAUUGACGGUAACUAAUCAGAAAGCCACGGCUAACUACGUG
Molecule: ribosomal RNA, 497 nt
Filed under: uncultured bacterium
Lineage: Bacteria
Description: partial 16S ribosomal RNA
Rfam family: Bacterial small subunit ribosomal RNA
Source: RNAcentral